CAGAAGAUAGUUUAAUGGAGAACAUUAGCUUUGGGAGCUAANGGUAAAGGUUUAAG
RNAcentral lists this transfer RNA (56 nucleotides) under Aepyornis hildebrandti. RNAcentral's name for it is "partial tRNA-Pro". It matches the Rfam family "tRNA", at positions 1 to 57 of the family's 71-position model. From Rfam's summary of the family: Transfer RNA (tRNA) molecules are approximately 80 nucleotides in length. Their secondary structure includes four short double-helical elements and three loops (D, anti-codon, and T loops). Lineage: Eukaryota; Metazoa; Chordata; Aves; Struthioniformes; Aepyornithidae. The record is from RNAcentral.